Molecule: unclassified non-coding RNA, 152 nt
Filed under: uncultured Arthrinium
Lineage: Eukaryota; Fungi; Ascomycota; Sordariomycetes; Amphisphaeriales; Apiosporaceae
Description: sequence contains ITS2
Source: RNAcentral
CAACCCUUAAGCCUAGCUUAGUGUUGGGAAUCUACUGUACUGUAGUUCCUCAAAGACAGUGGCGGAGCGGCAGUGGUCCUCUGAGCGUAGUAAUUUAUUUCUCGCUUUUGUCAGGCCCUGUCCUCUCGCCAUAAAACCCCCAAUUUUUUAGU